This 75-nucleotide transfer RNA is filed under the name Chloroflexota bacterium. RNAcentral's name for it is "tRNA-Gln". It matches the Rfam family "tRNA". From Rfam's summary of the family: Transfer RNA (tRNA) molecules are approximately 80 nucleotides in length. Lineage: Bacteria; Bacillati; Chloroflexota. The record is from RNAcentral.
AGGUCUGUGGUGUAAUUGGUAGCACUUGGGAUUUUGAUUCCUACAGUUCAAGUUCGAGUCUUGGCAGACCUGCCA